RNAcentral lists this ribosomal RNA (460 nucleotides) under uncultured bacterium. RNAcentral's name for it is "partial 16S ribosomal RNA". It matches the Rfam family "Bacterial small subunit ribosomal RNA", at positions 338 to 795 of the family's 1533-position model. The record is from RNAcentral.
CCUACGGGGGGCAGCAGUGAGGAAUAUUGGUCAAUGGACGAGAGUCUGAACCAGCCAAGUAGCGUGAAGGAUGACUGCCCUAUGGGUUGUAAACUUCUUUUAUAUGGGAAUAAAACGUUCCACGUGUGGGAUUUUGUAUGUACCAUAUGAAUAAGGAUCGGCUAACUCCGUGCCAGCAGCCGCGGUAAUACGGAGGAUCCGAGCGUUAUCCGGAUUUAUUGGGUUUAAAGGGAGCGUAGGUGGAUUGUUAAGUCAGUUGUGAAAGUUUGCGGCUCAACCGUAAAAUUGCAGUUGAAACUGGCAGUCUUGAGUACAGUAGAGGUGGGCGGAAUUCGUGGUGUAGCGGUGAAAUGCUUAGAUAUCACGAAGAACUCCGAUUGCGAAGGCAGUUCACUGAACUGCAACUGACACUGAGGCUCGAAAGUGUGGGUAUCAAACAGGAUUAGAUACCCCUGUAGUC